AUGGAUGUGAAAAGUGCAUUCCUCAAUGGUAAGCUUGAGGAAGAAGUAUAUGUUGCUCAACCCCCAGGUUUUGAAGAUCCAAAGAAUCAUGACGAAGUCUUUAGACUCAACAAGGCCCUCUAUGGCCUCAAGCAGGCCCCAUGGGCUUGGUAUGAUACCUUGAAGGAACUCCUCAUGAAGAAAUGCUUCAAACCUUGUUCACUCGACCCUACUCUUUUCACUAAAUCUUAUGAUGGUGAAUUGUUUGUGUGCCAAAUAUAUGUUGAUGAUAUUAUCUUUGGCUGUACUGACCAACGUUAUAGUGAUGAAUUUGCCUAUAUAAUGAGUGAAGAAUAUCAAAUUUUUAGGAUGGGAGAGUUGAAAUUCUUCUUAGGUCUUCAAAUUCGUCAACAACACAAUGGCAUAUUCAUAUCUCAGGAGAAAUACCUCAAGGAUGUACUGAGGAAAUUCGGCAUGCAAGAUUGCAAAGGCGUCAAAAUUCCUAUGCCCACAAAUGGCCAUCUGUGCACUGAUGAAAACGGUAUUGACUUCGAUCAUAAGGUAUACCGCUCCAUGAUAAGUUCCUUAUUGUACUUAUGUGCAUCUAGGCCAGAUAUAAUGCUUAGUGUUUGCAUGUGUGCCUGA
This 624-nucleotide ribosomal RNA is filed under the name Triticum aestivum (bread wheat). RNAcentral's name for it is "partial small subunit ribosomal RNA". The record is from RNAcentral. Lineage: Eukaryota; Viridiplantae; Streptophyta; Magnoliopsida; Poales; Poaceae.